UGGGGAAUAUUGCACAAUGGGCGCAAGCCUGAUGCAGCCAUGCCGCGUGUAUGAAGAAGGCCUUCGGGUUGUAAAGUACUUUCAGUCGGGAGGAAGGUGGUAAGGUUAAUAACCUUAUCAAUUGACGUUACUGACAGAAGAAGCACCGGCUAACUCCGUGCCAGCAGCCGCGGUAAUACGGAGGGUGCAAGCGUUAAUCGGAAUUACUGGGCGUAAAGCGCACGCAGGCGGUUGAUUGAGUCAGAUGUGAAAUCCCCGGGCUUAACCCGGGAAUUGCAUCUGAUACUGGUCAGCUAGAGUCUUGUAGAGGGGGGUAGAAUUCCAUGUGUAGCGGUGAAAUGCGUAGAGAUGUGGAGGAAUACCGGUGGCGAAGGCGGCCCCCUGGACAAAGACUGACGCUCAGGUGCGAAAGCGUGGGGAGCAAACAGG
Molecule: ribosomal RNA, 429 nt
Filed under: Chloroflexota bacterium
Lineage: Bacteria; Bacillati; Chloroflexota
Description: Chloroflexi bacterium partial 16S ribosomal RNA
Rfam family: Bacterial small subunit ribosomal RNA
Source: RNAcentral